This 107-nucleotide small nuclear RNA is filed under the name Sciurus vulgaris (Eurasian red squirrel). The record is from RNAcentral. Lineage: Eukaryota; Metazoa; Chordata; Mammalia; Rodentia; Sciuridae.
GUGCUCGCUUCGGCAGCACAUAUACUAAAAUUGGAACAAUGCAGAGAAGAUUAGCAUGGCCCCUGCGCAAGAAUGACAUGCAAAUUCAUGAAGUGUUCCAUAUUUUU